UCAAUUUCCCUGAGUUGCGGUGAUUUAUUGAAUAAUAAUUCUGUGCUGUGAACAUAUUUUUAUUUAUUUUAUUUAAAAUAUUUUUACCCCACCUUUCUCCUUGAAAUGAAUGCAAGGUGGUGUACGUCAUUAAAAGGACAAUAUUUAAAAGCUAAAAAAAAAAAAAAAAAUCAAUAGAUAUACAAUAUUAAAAUGAACUGAACAAGUAGUACAUUAAAAGCAGUCAUAAAAUCAAUUCAAUUCAGAGUUUUUCAGAUAAUGAAUACUCCCCAAUAGAUAUACAAUAUUAAAAUGAAUUGAACAAAUAUUACAUUAAAAGCAGUCAUAAAAUCAAUGCAAUUCAGAGUUUUUCAGAUAAUGAAUACUGAGAAGUGCUUCACCGUUCACUUCUUCUGGAGGAGCCAUGAGGCUGUGCAGCUGGCCCAAGGCCACCCAGGCUGGCUUUGUAUGCGUAGGAGGCACAAGGAGGGAAUCGAACUCUGAGCCUCUGGCUGCAUAAACGACUGAACUAUCCGUCCAGCUACGAUGUCUCCAAAUAUCUGUUUCUGGGGACGUGAGACGGAGGGUUUUGCUGGGCCCACCUCCAGGGCUUCCCUUUGGAGGGCCCUCUGAUUGGAGACUAUGUGAAUAGGAUGCUGGCCUCCGCUGGGCUGUAGCUUCAUCUUUCCCCCUGCUUUGGACGAGAGAAGCAAGACUUUUCACGCUGUCUCCCUGCCAAAGCCAAGGACCCUUCUGUUUGGAUUCGCUACAAUGGGCCCUUGUAUUCUUUGGCACCGGCUGUCUCUCGGCUGCCCAUCGACGCUGCCUCCGCCAACAAUAACUGCUUUAUCUUUGCCGGUGCCCUGGGUUCAAAGUGGGUUGGAAAGGCCGGGAAUGGACGCGACGGGAACAGGGAUGAGAACGGGACCCGCAUGUCGCCUGGGUGGGGAGAGAGAACUCUAUAAAGGCCAGCAGUCCCAUGGAGGCGAAAAGUCUACUAGCAUCUCAGCAUGUCCUAUGGUAGAGAAAGGAAAAAGUGGAAGAUGGAGCUCUAUGUGCUUUGGCUGAGUUUUGCCUUCCUUCGCGCCGCCCAGGCGGUGAGCUACGACUCGGAUCGUUGCAGCCCAAAACAGGCCUUUGGAGACUGGCUUAUGCACGCCUUUGCCACGGACUGCAAGUGGUUCAUGAAAUACCUGGACGACAUGACGAUGGUCGUCGUCAAUUUACGUGAGACGGAAAGCGGAGGGAUCUACAUCGCUUCCAAGUUCCCAACCCCCUUCGGGUGCCAGAGCCUUGAGCUGGAAUUCAAGAGACAGGAAGAUGGGUCGUACGUCCACACAUCAGGAUGGGGUGAGGAAAAGAUAGAAAAGAUCAUGACAGAUUGCGAUACCUACACCAUUGUCACCAUCGCGAAGGUCAGGGGUGGGGUGACCUCCAGAUAUGCGGUACUUUAUGCCAGGGAGACCCAGGUGCGAAAGGAAGCUGAACAGAAAUUCCUGGACUAUGUGCAUCAUGAGCUGGGCUUUAAGGAGGAAAACAUUCAGAUGUUUGGUGACGAAGUGGCCUGCGCGGAAGGUCGUUAGGUGAGUUUUUGAAGGCACCGACACUCAAUUUUGGGCAAAAGCGUUCGCUGGCCUGAACCUUCGGGUCUUCUCGGUCAAGCGUGACAAAAACACACACACACACACCGGUGCUUUUCCAAGGCCAUCGGUCUGAAUAGAGAAAAGGCUGGGUGGUAUUGGCUUGUUCCUGUGACGUCACCACCAGAGGUUACGAUCUGAAGCACUUUUGCCUGUUCAUUGUGAUUCGAGGGAAGAGGGUGGUGGAGGGGAUGUAAGGUGAACAAGACAAGGAAAGAGCAUUGGCCCUUUUUUGAGUGAAAGACAGUGAAAGAAUCUAAGUUUGAUCUAAGAAAACCAGAGACACUGGCUCAUCCCUCAAGUUCCCUGUCUCACAGGUUCCUCAGAAGACUCAGCGCUGCUGGCUGUGGGUUUGGAAGUGUCCAUGGUGUCCAGUUCGGGCCUCCGUGCGAGAUUCUGAGCAUCGAACGCUGUCGUCCUGCUUAAUAAAUAGAUUCGGAAAAUGCA
Long non-coding RNA from Pogona vitticeps (central bearded dragon), 2066 nucleotides. Ensembl annotates it as lipocalin-15-like. The record is from Ensembl. Lineage: Eukaryota; Metazoa; Chordata; Lepidosauria; Squamata; Agamidae.